UUGAAUUUGCAUUUGGUAGCUGUUCAUGGGAACUCUCAAUAUGCCGUCCAAAGAGGUGUUGAUGCAAGUGAA
Molecule: non-coding RNA, 72 nt
Organism: Pangasianodon gigas (Mekong giant catfish)
Lineage: Eukaryota; Metazoa; Chordata; Actinopteri; Siluriformes; Pangasiidae
Source: the annotation of a GenBank genome assembly